CCUGGCUUAGGAUGAACGCUAGCUACAGGCUUAACACAUGCAAGUCGAGGGGCAGCAUGUGGUUGCUUGCAACCAAUGAUGGCGACCGGCGCACGGGUGAGUAACGCGUAUCCAACCUUCCCCUUAGUAGGGGAUAGCCCGGCGAAAGUCGGAUUAAUACUCUAUGUUCUUCAAUGCGGGCAUCUAAGUUGAAGCAAAGAUUUAUCGCUAAGGGAUGGGGAUGCGUCUGAUUAGGUUGCAGGCGGGGUAACGGCCCACCUGGCCUACGAUCAGUAGGGGUUCUGAGAGGAAGGUCCCCCACACUGGUACUGAGACACGGACCAGACUCCUACGGGAGGCAGCAGUGAGGAAUAUUGGUCAAUGGGCGCGAGCCUGAACCAGCCAAGUAGCGUGCAGGACGAACCUGCCCUAUGGGUUGUAAACUGCUUUUAUCAGGGAAUAAAGUGAGGCACGCGUGCCUUUUUGUAUGUACCUGAUGAAUAAGGACCGGCUAAUUCCGUGCCAGCAGCUGC
Molecule: ribosomal RNA, 512 nt
Filed under: uncultured bacterium
Lineage: Bacteria
Description: bacterial SSU rRNA
Rfam family: Bacterial small subunit ribosomal RNA
Source: RNAcentral